ACGAACGCUGGCGGCGUGCCUAAUACAUGCAAGUAGAACGCUGAAGAGAGGAGCUUGCUCUUCUUGGAUGAGUUGCGAACGGGUGAGUAACGCGUAGGUAACCUGCCUUGUAGCGGGGGAUAACUAUUGGAAACGAUAGCUAAUACCGCAUAACAAUGGAUGACACAUGUCAUUUAUUUGAAAGGGACAAUUGCUCCACUACAAGAUGGACCUGCGUUGUAUUAGCUAGUAGGUGAGGUAAUGGCUCACCUAGGCGACGAUACAUAGCCGACCUGAGAGGGUGAUCGGCCACACUGGGACUGAGACACGGCCCAGACUCCUACGGGAGGCAGCAGUAGGGAAUCUUCGGCAAUGGGGGCAACCCUGACCGAGCAACGCCGCGUGAGUGAAGAAGGUUUUCGGAUCGUAAAGCUCUGUUGUAAGUCAAGAACGGGUGUGAGAGUGGAAAGUUCACACUGUGACGGUAGCUUACCAGAAAGGGACGGCUAACUACGUG
RNAcentral lists this ribosomal RNA (496 nucleotides) under uncultured bacterium. RNAcentral's name for it is "partial 16S ribosomal RNA". It matches the Rfam family "Bacterial small subunit ribosomal RNA", at positions 29 to 507 of the family's 1533-position model. The record is from RNAcentral.